RNAcentral lists this transfer RNA (84 nucleotides) under Bacteroidetes bacterium GWE2_42_42. Its description in RNAcentral is "tRNA-Leu". It matches the Rfam family "tRNA". Rfam says of the family: Transfer RNA (tRNA) molecules are approximately 80 nucleotides in length. Their secondary structure includes four short double-helical elements and three loops (D, anti-codon, and T loops). RNAcentral also lists the same sequence under 2 other names. Lineage: Bacteria; Pseudomonadati; Bacteroidota. The record is from RNAcentral.
GCCCGAGUGGCGGAAUUGGUAGACGCGCUGGUCUCAAAAACCUGUGAGCGCAAGCUCGUGCCGGUUCGAUCCCGGCCUCGGGUA